GGUGAACGCUGGCGGCGUGCCUAAGACAUGCAAGUCGAGCGGGGCAGGUUUAUACCUGUUCAGCGGCGGACGGGUGAGUAACGCGUGGGUGACCUACCCGGAAGAGGCGGACAACCUGGGGAAACCCAGGCUAAUCCGCCAUGUGGUCCUGUCCUGUGGGGCAGGACUAAAGGGUGGAUAGCCCGCUUCCGGAUGGGCCCGCGUCCCAUCAGCUAGUUGGUGGGGUAAAGGCCCACCAAGGCGACGACGGGUAGCCGGUCUGAGGGGAUGGCCGGCCACAGGGGGACGGAACCACGGGACCGACACCUACGGGAGGCAGCAGCGAGAGACAGUCCGGGAUGAUAGGGAGUCAGGCGGAGCGGCGCGGCUGGGAGGAGGAGGGCCAGCGGGGUGUAAACUAGUGAACUGGGGACGAAAGCCCUGUGUAGGGGGAUGCCGGUACCCAGGUAAAAGCGCCGGCCAACUCCGUG
Molecule: ribosomal RNA, 470 nt
Filed under: uncultured bacterium
Lineage: Bacteria
Description: partial 16S ribosomal RNA
Rfam family: Bacterial small subunit ribosomal RNA
Source: RNAcentral